UUCUCUUCUUCAUCCCAUUAGAUCAAGAGUUAUAAUUUGGUUUGCUAUCAAGUGGAAAAUCAUUCCUCUAAUUUUGGUCUUUGAGAUAAUUCUUGUGAAAGCUAAGGAAGGACUAAGGAGCUUUCAAACAGGAUCAUUAAGGAGGACUUCCGAUAUCCACAUAUGGCUUCAGGUACGCUUCCGCUAAUACAAUUAUAAUUCCAAAUUAUUCAAUACCAAAG
Molecule: long non-coding RNA, 221 nt
Filed under: Nicotiana benthamiana
Lineage: Eukaryota; Viridiplantae; Streptophyta; Magnoliopsida; Solanales; Solanaceae
Description: long non-coding RNA (NBEN_LNC034183)
Source: RNAcentral